AGAGUUUGAUCCUGGCUCAGAUUGAACGCUGGCGGCAGGCUUAACACAUGCAAGUCGAGCGGGGAGAUGUAGCUUGCUACAUUUCCUAGCGGCGGACGGGUGAGUAAUGCUUAGGAAUCUGCCUAUUAGUGGGGGACAACAUUCCGAAAGGAAUGCUAAUACCGCAUACGCCCUACGGGGGAAAGCAGGGGAUCUUCGGACCUUGCGCUAAUAGAUGAGCCUAAGUCAGAUUAGCUAGUUGGUGGGGUAAAGGCCUACCAAGGCGACGAUCUGUAGCGGGUCUGAGAGGAUGAUCCGCCACACUGGGACUGAGACACGGCCCAGACUCCUACGGGAGGCAGCAGUGGGGAAUAUUGGUCAAUGGGUGCAAGCCUGAACCA
RNAcentral lists this ribosomal RNA (380 nucleotides) under uncultured bacterium. RNAcentral's name for it is "bacterial SSU rRNA". It matches the Rfam family "Bacterial small subunit ribosomal RNA", at positions 8 to 390 of the family's 1533-position model. The record is from RNAcentral.